This 38-nucleotide small nuclear RNA is filed under the name Mnemiopsis leidyi (sea walnut). RNAcentral's name for it is "partial spliced leader precursor". Lineage: Eukaryota; Metazoa; Ctenophora; Tentaculata; Lobata; Bolinopsidae. The record is from RNAcentral.
AACUAUUUCAACACUACAAAUUAAAUACAUUUAUUGAG